UACAGAGGGUGCGAGCGUUAAUCGGAAUUACUGGGCGUAAAGGGCGCGCAGGCGGUCAUGCGAGUGUGAUGUGAAAGCCCCGGGCUUAACCUGGGAAGUGCAUCGCAAACGGCAUGACUGGAGUAGAUGAGAGGGUGGCGGAAUUUCCGGUGUAGCGGUGAAAUGCGUAGAGAUCGGAAGGAACGUCAAUGGCGAAGGCAGCCACCUGGCAUCAUACUGACGCUGAGGCGCGAAAGCGUGGGGAGCGAACAGG
RNAcentral lists this ribosomal RNA (253 nucleotides) under uncultured bacterium. RNAcentral describes it as "partial 16S ribosomal RNA". It matches the Rfam family "Bacterial small subunit ribosomal RNA", at positions 524 to 776 of the family's 1533-position model. The record is from RNAcentral.